Molecule: long non-coding RNA, 666 nt
Filed under: Nicotiana benthamiana
Lineage: Eukaryota; Viridiplantae; Streptophyta; Magnoliopsida; Solanales; Solanaceae
Description: long non-coding RNA (NBEN_LNC006986)
Source: RNAcentral
UUUUCUAUUAGCGGAUAAGCUUCAUAUAUUAAAAGACUCUAGAUAAUAUAAGGUCUAAGGAAAUUCUCUCUCUCUAUAUAUAUAUAUAUAUAUAUUUUUUUUUGGAUUACAAGACUCUAGAAAACAUACAAAUAUCUUUAGGUUUACCUCGUCUCCUUUAAUACCGUUUGCUAUCAGACCGACAAAUUGGUCUACAUGGAUGUUGAUAUACGACAUUAUCAAACCAUUUCAAGUAAUAUUUUCUCAAUUCAUUUUAAUAUGUAUUAUUUACACGUUCAGUCGAACAUAAUUUUAAUGUCUAAAACUUGUACAAUCGAACAUGCAUAUUAGCAUCCGAUCAAGCUAUAUUACCAGUAAGAAAAGGAGUAAAUAAUGUUGACUAAGAACAACAAGGAAAUAUGACUACAACUUAUCAAAAAUAUUGUAUCGUGACAAGCCACUGCCUUGAAAGCGAUUUCGGCCCGAUUGGGUGCAAAUCGUUAAGGCCGGUCGCUCCCCAAAGUUCCACAGCACCUCCAAACACGUGCACUCGUGGCUGGAAGUUUAGAAUUUGCACAAAAAUAGUUGCCCAUGAAGAAGAGAAGAUGAAGGGCUUUUAUGUGUUGCAUAAUUCAAAAAGAAAACUAGGAAGAAAGGAAUGAUUAGCUAGAUGUAUUCUUGGUUGAU